AACCAAAAUUUACAAUAAAUUCAUUUUUUUUGCACUAAAAUACAAAAAAUCUUGUGUAUAUACCUGUCUUUUCAUUUUUCCUUACUGACUUUUCAAAAACUUACAUGUUAUUUUUUUUUCAAAAUUUUAAUAAAUUAUUUUUUUUAAAAAUAUAUGUAAGAAUAAUUUGGUGAUUUCAUCAUCUUCAUUAACAUCGUAACAUUUUGAAAAUAUUUUUGAAAAUUUAAGAAGGCAAAAUAUAGAAAGAUGAGUUUUACAUCUG
This 262-nucleotide long non-coding RNA is filed under the name Ananas comosus (pineapple). RNAcentral describes it as "long non-coding RNA (ACOM_LNC032263)". The record is from RNAcentral. Lineage: Eukaryota; Viridiplantae; Streptophyta; Magnoliopsida; Poales; Bromeliaceae.